CGGACGGGUGAGUAACGCGUGGGUAACCUGCCUCAUACAGGGGGGUAACAGUUGGAAACGGCUGCUAAUACCGCAUAAGCGCACAGUACCGCAUGGUACGGUGUGAAAAACUCCGGUGGUACAGGAUGGACCCGCGUCUGAUUAGCUGGUUGGUGAGGUAACGGCUCACCAAGGCGACGAUCAGUAGCCGGCUUGAGAGAGUGAACGGCCACAUUGGGACUGAGACACGGCCCAA
RNAcentral lists this ribosomal RNA (235 nucleotides) under uncultured bacterium. RNAcentral describes it as "partial 16S ribosomal RNA". It matches the Rfam family "Bacterial small subunit ribosomal RNA", at positions 99 to 334 of the family's 1533-position model. The record is from RNAcentral.